Molecule: long non-coding RNA, 646 nt
Organism: Hirundo rustica (Barn swallow)
Lineage: Eukaryota; Metazoa; Chordata; Aves; Passeriformes; Hirundinidae
Exons: 3
Source: RefSeq, a predicted model, not a curated record
UGUUAUUCCAGCAAUUGUGGCUCGCUCGUUCCAUUGAAACUUCCCUGCUCUGCCGAGAGUUUGAGAUGUCAAAUCCAGGGCACAUUUGCAAGGAAGUUUGCCAAAAGAGUGUCGGUUAAUGGGCAUUGUGGAUCACCGUACCUGCCGAAUGCUGUAAAUUCCCAGGAAAACUUGCUGCGUGUUUGAUUGCCGUCAUGAAUCUCUCUGUAAAGUCAAAUUCACUGCAUUUUUAAUGCCGUCAAUCCCAUUACAACCUCACUCCUGGCCUAAUUGCUGUUCCCUGGACACAAUGGGGUGGAUCUUUCCUGCCUUGGCACAUUUGGAUGUUCAUCCGAAUAUGUGGCAGAUUGUCUGCUGGCAACAAAGAAGUUGGAAAAUGACAGCCGUGGCCACCCACCGAAGGCCUGGAUAUAAUGGGGAGUGAGAGCAAAGCCUCUGUACUUUCUGCUCCAUUGAGGAACCCGAAGGGAGAAAGCUGUAAGCGCCACGGUGCCGUUUUUUUCCUUUUUAUCCCCUAACAGGUCUCAUUCUACCCACGAACAGGGUUCGCAGCAGUCACUUGAUGUCGGGGUGUAUUUCAGAGGCAGCAAUAAAAGAAAGUAGAUUUUUUAUUCUGUAACUCUCCAAACCUCAUUGUUUAGUAACA